Molecule: ribosomal RNA, 116 nt
Organism: Nitratifractor salsuginis DSM 16511
Lineage: Bacteria; Pseudomonadati; Campylobacterota; Epsilonproteobacteria; Campylobacterales; Sulfurovaceae
Source: Rfam
GGUGGUGUCGCUGGCGAGAGGGUCACACCCGGCUCCAUUCCGAACCCGGAAGUUAAGCCUCUCAGCGCCGAUGAUACUGCAGACUACGUCUGUGGGAACGUAGGUCGACGCCACCC